CUUUCCCUGCUCAUGAUUACUCAGGUCUCAGACCUUCCUCCCCACCACUGGUGACAAAAAGAAGGAUUUGACUCUGCCCAGCUUGUUCCAAAUGCCAGGAGCCUCCCAUCAGAGGGUACAAGCAUAUUCGAGUGAAAGCUCAUCUGUCCUUGAUCUUCCUGUCAUUAACCAAUACCCCCUCUGCCCAGACUUCAUGAAAAUGAAAGCUGGGAGAUGGAGACUCAAAGAAAAGCAGGAUUCAAGAUAUCAAGGCCUCCCCCAUUUCAUAAAGCCAACCAAAAAAAUGAUGAUUCUGGAUGCCCCAAGGCACCUACAACUUCCCCUCAUGGAUUUUAUGAAUGACAAGUUGAUAAACUCAAAAUACAAGUCUACAGAAACCUUUCUCAAUGAGGACAUCAAAGCAGAAAAUGUUAAGUACAGACUGCCAAUGAGGGCCAUCUGGGGUCCCAAAAAACCCUUACAGACACUAUAUACUGACCUUAUAACAUCCUCCAAGACUCCAACUUACAAAAAAGAAUCUCUUCCAGAUCCGAAGAAUACGUGGGCAGAAUUCAACAUCAACAAGAUUCCUAAGCACAGUAAAUACUACUGA
RNAcentral lists this long non-coding RNA (592 nucleotides) under Phascolarctos cinereus (koala). Its description in RNAcentral is "lncRNA (ENSPCIG00000030029.2)". The record is from RNAcentral. Lineage: Eukaryota; Metazoa; Chordata; Mammalia; Diprotodontia; Phascolarctidae.